This 254-nucleotide ribosomal RNA is filed under the name uncultured bacterium. RNAcentral describes it as "partial 16S ribosomal RNA". It matches the Rfam family "Bacterial small subunit ribosomal RNA", at positions 524 to 776 of the family's 1533-position model. The record is from RNAcentral.
UACGUAGGGAGCAAGCGUUGUCCGGAUUUAUUGGGCGUAAAGGGCUCGUAGGCGGUUCGGUAAGUCGGGUGUGAAACCUCCAGGCUCAACCUGGAGACGCCACCCGAUACUGCUGUGACUUGAAUCUGGUAGGGGAGCACGGAAUUCCUGGUGUAGCGGUGAAAUGCACAGAUAUCAGGAGGAACACCGGUGGCGAAGGCGGCUACCUGGCCCAACAUUGACACUGAGGCCCGAAAGCGUGGGGAUCAAACAGG